CCCUGCCAUAGCCGUACCCAGCGCUGCCCCACGACGCCCUGUAACGGCCAUGUCAGUGGCAACCCCAUCGCGCCACACGAUGACCAAUCCCCAAAAGAACCCCCCAGCCUGGUAUAUAUGCGGCUGGGGGGGAAGGGGGAGGGUAAGCAAGAUUUUCCAGAGUAUCAUCUUACCUGCUACCUCUCCUUCUCCUUCGAUCUUCCCUAACUUGAUCGUCGGAGGGCCCCC
This 228-nucleotide long non-coding RNA is filed under the name Phoenix dactylifera (date palm). Its description in RNAcentral is "long non-coding RNA (PDAC_LNC009629)". Lineage: Eukaryota; Viridiplantae; Streptophyta; Magnoliopsida; Arecales; Arecaceae. The record is from RNAcentral.